ACUAUAGGUGCACUCAUAAAUUCGACCAAAAAUGCCUAGCCACAAAACAAGUCCAAAAAAUCCAAGACGAGCCCCCUCUAUAUAGGACAACCUACAACGGCCAACACACUUGCAACAAGUCAGCCCUCCACCACCACGUCGUCCCCGCCUCGCCGGAUUCCUCCUCCGUCAUGUGGAGCUUCAAUUCGAUCAAACAGGAGGAGGAGAUUCAAAUGAAAACACCGGACGAGUACUACAUAUCGCCCCACCACUUUUCGCCCAUGUCUUCGGAUGUGUACUCUUGCUCUCAUAGUAUUGAGGAUGUGGAUGACAUUGUGGGCUCCUUCGAAGAUUAUUUCGAAUUUGAAACCUUAAGUUGACUUCGAUUAUCUCUACUUAAUUUUCUAUAUAUAGUUG
RNAcentral lists this long non-coding RNA (396 nucleotides) under Salvia miltiorrhiza (redroot sage). RNAcentral's name for it is "long non-coding RNA (SMIL_LNC007454)". The record is from RNAcentral. Lineage: Eukaryota; Viridiplantae; Streptophyta; Magnoliopsida; Lamiales; Lamiaceae.